Molecule: long non-coding RNA, 514 nt
Organism: Schistocerca piceifrons (Central American locust)
Lineage: Eukaryota; Metazoa; Arthropoda; Insecta; Orthoptera; Acrididae
Exons: 4
Source: RefSeq, a predicted model, not a curated record
GUCUGCUUGACGUCCACAUUAGUUGAACAACGUCCUGUUAUUCGUUUCUUAUUUGAUGAAGGCGAGAAACCAGUUCUAAAACGGAGGAUGAGUGGACCACAACUGCAAACGAUUUUGAAAGGAAAUGGAAUUUUCCACACUAUCCUGGAUGUAUUGAUGUAAAGCUUAUAGAGAUUGUGUCUCCAGCAGGAAGUGAUUCAUUUUAUUGUGGUCUUUUACGCACUUCAGCAACAUACGAGGGUUAUCCAGAAACUACGAUUAGCCAGCUGGGGUGGCCAAGCUGUUCUAGGUGCUACAGUCUGAAAACGCGCUACCGCUACGGUCGCUGGUUCGAAUCCUGCCUCGGUAUCUGUACACACAACCAGAAGUCCAAAGAAAAAUUUAAGGACCAGUAAUAAGUGUUUAUUUGCAAUACAGAUCACAAGCGAAGCUCACUGAUGAAAUCAUGUGGUACAUCUUUUGUUUAAAUUUACUGCCUGUAAGUACAUAGCAGCUGUGAGUAUAUAUGUGUAAC